AGCAGCCGCGGUAAUUCCAGCUCCAAUAGCGUAUAUUAAAGUUGUUGCAGUUAAAAAGCUCGUAGUUGAAUUUCAGGCCUGGCUGGACGGUCCGCCCUUCGGGUGAGUACUGUCUGUGGUCGGGUCCUACCUUCUGGCGAAGCGUCAUGGCCUUAACCGGCCGUGGCGGGGAACCAGGACUUUUACUGUGAAAAAAUUAGAGUGUUCAAAGCAGGCAAAUCGCUUGGAUACAUUAGCAUGGAAUAAUGGAAUAGGACGAUGGUUCUAUUUGUUGGUUUCUAGGACCGUUGUAAUGAUUAAUAGGGAUAGUUGGGGGCAUUAGUAUUCAAUUGUCAGAGGUGAAAUUCUUGGAUUUAUUGAAGACUAACUACUGCGAAAGCAUUUGCCAAGGAUGUUUUCAUUAAUCAAGAACGAAAGUUAGGGGAUCGAAGACGAUCAGAUACCGUCGUAGUCUUAACCAUAAACUAUGCCGACUAGGAAUCGGGCGAUGUUGACAAAAUGACGCGCUCGGCACCUCAU
This 519-nucleotide ribosomal RNA is filed under the name uncultured Paraglomus. RNAcentral describes it as "SSU rRNA". It matches the Rfam family "Eukaryotic small subunit ribosomal RNA", at positions 569 to 1091 of the family's 1831-position model. Lineage: Eukaryota; Fungi; Glomeromycota; Glomeromycetes; Paraglomerales; Paraglomeraceae. The record is from RNAcentral.